This 492-nucleotide non-coding RNA is filed under the name Helianthus annuus (common sunflower). RNAcentral's name for it is "Bacterial small subunit ribosomal RNA". It matches the Rfam family "Bacterial small subunit ribosomal RNA", at positions 351 to 727 of the family's 1533-position model. The record is from Rfam by way of RNAcentral. Lineage: Eukaryota; Viridiplantae; Streptophyta; Magnoliopsida; Asterales; Asteraceae.
ACAGUCAAGAAAAUCAAGGGCAAUGGUGAUAUAUAUGCGGAUUAUACACCAAAAAAAAAACACUCAACAAAUGGAUACAAUUAAAGGAAUGUGUUUAGUGACGGCAUCAGAUUCCUAAUUGAUGGAGAAAUGUUUGGUGGCAAGAAAAGCUGCUGACGGUAUCUGGGGAAUAAGCAUCGGCUAACUCUGUGCCAGCAGCCGCGGUAAUACAGAGGAUGCAAGCGUUAUCCGGGUAAAGCGUCUGUAGGUGGCUUUUUAAGUCCGCCGUCAAAUCCCAGGGCUCAACUCUAGACAGGCGGUGGAAACUACCAAGCUGGAGUACAGUAGGGGCAGAGGGAAUUUCCGGUGGAGCGAUGAAAGAGAGAAACAAAGAAUAUUACUACUGUGUAAACGAAAAGUUUGAGAGUAAGCAUUACACAACCUCCAAGAUCAUCCCUACCUAUUACUGCUCCUUUGAGUAGUAACGAGGGGUUUUUUGAGAUCAACUCACAU